RNAcentral lists this ribosomal RNA (429 nucleotides) under Chloroflexota bacterium. RNAcentral describes it as "Chloroflexi bacterium partial 16S ribosomal RNA". It matches the Rfam family "Bacterial small subunit ribosomal RNA", at positions 355 to 776 of the family's 1533-position model. The record is from RNAcentral. Lineage: Bacteria; Bacillati; Chloroflexota.
UGGGGAAUAUUGCACAAUGGGCGCAAGCCUGAUGCAGCCAUGCCGCGUGUGUGAAGAAGGCCUUCGGGUUGUAAAGCACUUUCAGCGGGGAGGAAGGCGUUAAGGUUAAUAACCUUGGCGAUUGACGUUACCCGCAGAAGAAGCACCGGCUAACUCCGUGCCAGCAGCCGCGGUAAUACGGAGGGUGCAAGCGUUAAUCGGAAUUACUGGGCGUAAAGCGCACGCAGGCGGUCUGUCAAGUCGGAUGUGAAAUCCCCGGGCUCAACCUGGGAACUGCAUUGGAAACUGGGAGGGUAGAGUCUUGUAGGGGGGGGUAGAAUUCCAGGUGGAGGGGUGAAAUGGGUAGAGAUCUGGAGGAAUACCGGGGGCGAAGGGGGCGACCUGGACAAAGACUGACGCUCAGGUGCGAAAGCGUGGGGAGCAAACAGG